UGGUAGUUAUAAUUAUGAGGGGUCCACACGAUCCCAUCCCGAACUCGAACGUGAAAUCUCAUGAUGCUGAUGGUACUGUGUAAAAUACAUGGGAGAGUAGGUUGUUGCCAGG
This 112-nucleotide ribosomal RNA is filed under the name Occidentia massiliensis. Lineage: Bacteria; Pseudomonadati; Pseudomonadota; Alphaproteobacteria; Rickettsiales; Rickettsiaceae. The record is from RNAcentral.